CCGACACGUUGAACGCAUAUGGCGCAUCGGACGUUUCAACCCGACCGAUGUACACAUUCUUGAGUGCCUAC
RNAcentral lists this ribosomal RNA (71 nucleotides) under Anopheles varuna. RNAcentral's name for it is "partial 5.8S ribosomal RNA". The record is from RNAcentral. Lineage: Eukaryota; Metazoa; Arthropoda; Insecta; Diptera; Culicidae.